CCCCGAGGGGAUAGACCAGCAGGUAACAACAGCACGGACUUGACCCGGCGAGUGGUCGGACAAGGUCGGUGGGACCAGCAGACAACUCCGGCCAGUGAUAAAGCGGCCAGCUGUUGUCAACGCCACAAGAUGAGACCAGUUGCUGCAGCAACGGAUGCCACACCACUCUAGAGAAGGCAUGCAUGUGACCAGUUUCGUUUUUCUCUCAAGGGUCUUUCAAUCCCCGCCGAGUACGAAAAGCUCCGACUGCAUUCAUGUCCUACGCAUUCAGAUUUGAUGAUCACUCCACACCAUUUACAUCUGGCAACUAACUUCACACGGUGAUUUAAUGCACCAGAAUUCGACGGAUAUGAUGUGAAGAUAAUGACAUGCUUGGAGCUGAUAUCCAUGAUGUACUACGAAGGACCAUUAUAGCAUGUGCCUCCAGUUACUGAAGAAAAUCAUGACAAACUUCAAUCAGGACAGCCAGUUUCGAUCCUGAGGCUUCAAAUUAAGAAACUUCAUGUGAUAAUAACAGCUGUUUACAAUUAAUUUCGACUGUACGGGAAACAAAAAACCGUUCUUGUAUUAUAAACUUCUUCUGUGACAGAAGAGCUUGUUACAGGAUUGAGGCAUUCAAUGUGUGGGCUCUAGGAGCUACGAAAUUAGCGCUCGUUACCUUGCUGUAUCUAACUGCUUCAACUUUUCCUUACCUGAGGGUAUCUCGAUAGUUGUCAAUGUACGUCUAAUAAUAAAAGAGAAAA
Long non-coding RNA from Zootermopsis nevadensis, 743 nucleotides. RefSeq lists it as uncharacterized. The record is from RefSeq and is a predicted model, not a curated record. NCBI's taxonomy places the organism in Eukaryota, Metazoa, Arthropoda, Insecta, Blattodea, Termopsidae.